GUGAACGCUGGCGGUAGGCCUAACACCUGCAAGUCGAACGGCAGCACAGUAAGAGCUUGCUCUUCCGGGUGGCGAGUGGCGGACGGGUGAGGAAUACAUCGGAAUCUACUUUUUCGUGGGGGAUAACGUAGGGAAACUUACGCUAAUACCGCAUACGACCUACGGGUGAAAGCAGGGGAUCUUCGGACCUUGCGCGAUUGAAUGAGCCGAUGUCGGAUUAGCUAGUUGGCGGGGUAAAGGCCCACCAAGGCGACGAUCCGUAGCUGGUCUGAGAGGAUGAUCAGCCACACUGGAACUGAGACACGGUCCAGACUCCUACGGGAGGCAGCAGUGGGGAAUAUUGGACAAUGGGCGCAAGCCUGAUCCAGCCAUACCGCGUGGGUGAAGAAGGCCUUCGGGUUGUAAAGCCCUUUUGUUGGGAAAGAAAAGCAGCAGGUUAAUACCCCGCUGUUCUGACGGUACCCAAAGAAUAAGCACCGGCUAACUUCGUG
RNAcentral lists this ribosomal RNA (491 nucleotides) under uncultured bacterium. RNAcentral's name for it is "partial 16S ribosomal RNA". It matches the Rfam family "Bacterial small subunit ribosomal RNA", at positions 29 to 507 of the family's 1533-position model. The record is from RNAcentral.